CAGUCGCCACGGGAAUACGUAGGUGGCAAGCGUUGUCCGGAAUCAUUGGGCGUAAAGCGCGCGCAGGUGGUUUAAUAAGUCUGAUGUGAAAGCCCACGGCUCGACCGUGGAGGGUCAUUGGAAACUGUUAAACUUGAGUGCAGAAGGGGAGAGUGGAAUUCCAUGUGUAGCGGUGAAAUGCGUAGAGAUUAGGAGGAACACCAGUGGCGAAGGCGGCUUUUUGGCCUGUAACUGACACUGAGGCGCGAAAGUGUGGGGAGCAAACAGGAUUAGAUACCCCAGUAGUCCCUGUCUCUUAUAA
Molecule: ribosomal RNA, 301 nt
Filed under: uncultured bacterium
Lineage: Bacteria
Description: partial 16S ribosomal RNA
Rfam family: Bacterial small subunit ribosomal RNA
Source: RNAcentral